Molecule: ribosomal RNA, 406 nt
Filed under: uncultured bacterium
Lineage: Bacteria
Description: partial 16S ribosomal RNA
Rfam family: Bacterial small subunit ribosomal RNA
Source: RNAcentral
AUUGAACGCUGGCGGCAGGCCUAACACAUGCAAGUCGAGCGAGCGGCGGACGGGUGAGUAAUGUCUGGGAAACUGCCUGAUGGAGGGGGAUAACUACUGGAAACGGUAGCUAAUACCGCAUACCAUCAGAUGUGCCCAGAUGGGAUUAGCUAGUGGGUGGGGUAACGGCUCACCUAGGCGACGAUCCCUAGCUGGGCUGAGAGGAUGACCAGCAACGUUGGAACUGAGACACGGUCCAGCCCCCUGCGGGAGGCAGCGGUGGGGAAUAUGGCACAAUGGGGGCAACCCUGAUGCAGCCAUGCGGCGUGUGUGAAGAAGGCCUUGGGGUUGUAAAGACCUUUCAGCGGGGGGGCUUUCCCGGCAGAAAAAGCACCGGCUAACUCCGUGCCAGCCGCCGCGGUAAUAC